GUCUACUGGCAUACCACCCUGAACCCCCCUGAUCUCGCCUGAUUUCGGAAGCUAAGCAGCGUGGGGCGUGGUUAGUACUUGGAUGGGAGACCGCCUAGGAAUACCGGGUGCUUUAGGCA
Cercocebus atys (sooty mangabey) is the source of this 119-nucleotide ribosomal RNA. The record is from Ensembl. NCBI's taxonomy places the organism in Eukaryota, Metazoa, Chordata, Mammalia, Primates, Cercopithecidae.